This 375-nucleotide ribosomal RNA is filed under the name uncultured organism. Its description in RNAcentral is "partial 16S ribosomal RNA". It matches the Rfam family "Bacterial small subunit ribosomal RNA", at positions 527 to 896 of the family's 1533-position model. The record is from RNAcentral.
GUAGGUGGCAAGCGUUGUCCGGAAUUAUUGGGGCGUAAAGCGCGCGCAGGCGGUUCUUUAAGGCUGAUGUCGAAAGCCCACGGGCUCAACCGUGGAGGGUCAUUGGAAACUGGAGAACUUGAGUACAGAAGAGGAAAGCGGAAUUCCACGUGUAGCGGUGAAAUGCGUAGAGAUGUGGAGGAACACCAGUGGCGGAGGCGGCUUUCUGGUCUGUAACUGACGCUGAGGCGCGAAAGCGUGGGGAGCAAACAGGAUUAGAUACCCUGGUAGUCCACGCCGUAAACGAUGAGUGCUAAGUGUUAGGGGGUUUCCGCCCCUUAGUGCUGCAGCUAACGCAUUAAGCACUCCGCCUGGGGAGUACGGCCGCAAAGGCUG